CAUGAAGGGGAAUCUGCUCUAAUUACUGUUCAUGCCUAUUACCUGGGAGUCCAUUAGUUGUAUGUAAACAUCAAAGUUCCAGUGCCACUGAACCAAGACACUGCUCUACCACACAUCCCCUCACUUCCCCUCCCUGCUCCUUCUAAAAGUUGUCACAGCUAGUAAGAAACCCUGCUGUAUGUGGUGGCCAAUCAGUAUGACGUCCGAUGGACUUUCCCUAUUUGUAACUACAUAAUUUUGAAG
Erinaceus europaeus (western European hedgehog) is the source of this 243-nucleotide long non-coding RNA. RefSeq lists it as uncharacterized. The transcript has 3 exons. NCBI's taxonomy places the organism in Eukaryota, Metazoa, Chordata, Mammalia, Eulipotyphla, Erinaceidae. The record is from RefSeq and is a predicted model, not a curated record.